AUGUCAUGAAUUCCUCAUGAAUUCCUUGAUGG
This 32-nucleotide non-coding RNA is filed under the name Rattus norvegicus (Norway rat). Lineage: Eukaryota; Metazoa; Chordata; Mammalia; Rodentia; Muridae. The record is from RNAcentral.